UACGGGGGGGGGCAAGCGUUGUUCGGAAUUACUGGGCGUAAAGGGCUCGUAGGCGGCCAACUAAGUCAGACGUGAAAUCCCUCGGCUUAACCGGGGAACUGCGUCUGAUACUGGAUGGCUUGAGUGUGGGAGAGGGAUGCGGAAUUCCAGGUGUAGCGGUGAAAUGCGUAGAUAUCUGGAGGAACACCGGUGGCGAAGGCGGCAUCCUGGACCAUUACUGACGCUGAGUGAGCGAAAGCCAGGGGAG
This 247-nucleotide ribosomal RNA is filed under the name uncultured bacterium. Its description in RNAcentral is "partial 16S ribosomal RNA". It matches the Rfam family "Bacterial small subunit ribosomal RNA", at positions 524 to 768 of the family's 1533-position model. The record is from RNAcentral.